GGAUCAUUACCGAGUGAGGGCCCCUGGCCCGACCUCCAACCCCUUGUUAAUCAAACCACUGNUUGCCUCGGGGGUUACCUCAACCUGAGGGCUCCCGGUGGACAAAUUAUCAAAAACACCGCAUCCGUACGUCAGAAUAUUGAAAGCAAAUUGAAUGAAAACUUUCAACAACGGAUCUCUUGGUUCUGGCAUCGAUGAAGAACGCAGCGAAAUGCGAUAAGUAAUGUGAAUUGCAGAAUUCAAUGAAUCAUCGAGUUUUUGAACGCACAUUGCGCCCUUUGGCAUUCCGAGGGGCAUGCCCGUUCGAGCGUCAUUUCACCACUCCAGCCUGGCUGGGAAUUGGGCCCGGGGGCGACCCGGGCCUCGAACUCGUCGGCAAGAUCAACCAAAUCGUCGCGUCGUGGCAUUCAAUUUCGCGAACGAGAUGGGGGGGCUGCGCCGUUAAAUUUGAUUCAGGUUGACCUCGGAUCGGGUAGGGAUACCCGCUGAACUUAAGCAUAUCAAUAAGCGGAGGAAAAGAAACCAACAGGGAUUGCCCUAGUAACGGCGAGUGAAGCGGCAACAGCUCAAAUUUGAAACCUGGCGCAAGCCCGGAUUGUAAUUUGUAGAGGAUGCUUCGAGGCAGCGGCCGGUCUAAGUUUCUUGGAACAGGACGUCAUAGAGGGUGAGAAUCCCGUAUGCGACCGGCUGGCACCUCACACGUAGCUCCUUCGACGAGUCGAGUUGUUUGGGAAUGCAGCUCUAAAUGGGAGGUAAAUUUCUUCUAAAGCUAAAUACCGGCCAGAGACCGAUAGCGCACAAGUAGAGUGAUCGAAAGAUGAAAAGCACUUUGGAAAGAGAGUUAAAAAGCACGUGAAAUUGUUGAAAGGGAAGCGCUUGCUACCAGACUUGUUAACGGUGUUCCGCCGGUCUUCUGACUGGUUUAUUCGCCAUUGACAGGCCAACAUCGUCUGGGGCCGCCGGAGAAAGGCUCGAGGAAUGUGGCUCUUCGGAGUGUUAUAGCCUCUUGCACAAUACGGUGUGCCCCGGGCGAGGUU
RNAcentral lists this ribosomal RNA (1037 nucleotides) under uncultured fungus. RNAcentral's name for it is "eukaryotic LSU rRNA". The stretch from base 459 to 1037 matches the Rfam family "Eukaryotic large subunit ribosomal RNA", at positions 1 to 595 of the family's 3401-position model. Lineage: Eukaryota; Fungi. The record is from RNAcentral.